AUCUUUUUUUUUUUUUUUUUUUUGGUAAUAUCAGCUAAUUAGACUUUGACAACCAAUUAGCAGAUUUUUAGCUUUGCUGAGAAUCAAGUUAGCGCUGAGAAAGUAGGAGGCAAGUAAACCAAACAUGCAAAAUGCUCCUCUUGUACCGCAAACAGGCUGUCCUUAAAAAAAAAACAACACACCACACAACGCAACAAAACCCAUCCGCAAGGGCCAGAUCCUGCUCGGGAUUUAUAGCCCUUUCAGCUGGCUGCCACGCCACUUACUCGCAGGUGUAAAUCGAGUGUAGGACUUGGCCGGCAGAAUGGAGCUCGCCAUAACUCAUGCAGAGCUGCCGCGGAGGAGCCCUCGCCAGCCUCCUCGCAAGAGGACGCGAGGCGCUCCUUGGAACAGACGCCGUUUGUGUGCACCCGCGUGUGUUUUCCCCCCCAGCUAAAAGGAAAAAAAAAAAAA
Molecule: long non-coding RNA, 453 nt
Organism: Oxyura jamaicensis (ruddy duck)
Lineage: Eukaryota; Metazoa; Chordata; Aves; Anseriformes; Anatidae
Exons: 2
Source: RefSeq, a predicted model, not a curated record